CCCAUCUUGAGCCACCAUGGUAGACACCUUUCAAGGCAUACUCACUACCAUAUUAUGAUAAUGUAAGAGGCAGGACACCCCUAGCCCCUAUCCCCUUCCCAUGUUCCAUGUUUCCACCCAUGGCUUGUUGCCGACCUAAGUUAUGUACUGAUCUUUCUGAUGACUUAUGACAGAGACUGCCCCGUAUCCGAUUAACUGAUACAGGAGUUCGUAUAUUAUUAAAAUCGCUCCAAGGAACAUGCAGUCUUAUCUCUACAGAACAAAUAUGAUAUGAUUAACCGCACGAACUGUUAUAUGACCCCAUUAUGUAUACAUUGAAUGCCAC
Molecule: non-coding RNA, 325 nt
Organism: Pelobates cultripes (western spadefoot toad)
Lineage: Eukaryota; Metazoa; Chordata; Amphibia; Anura; Pelobatidae
Source: the annotation of a GenBank genome assembly